This 2773-nucleotide ribosomal RNA is filed under the name Escherichia coli. Its description in RNAcentral is "bacterial LSU rRNA". It matches the Rfam family "Bacterial large subunit ribosomal RNA". The record is from RNAcentral. Lineage: Bacteria; Pseudomonadati; Pseudomonadota; Gammaproteobacteria; Enterobacterales; Enterobacteriaceae.
AGCGUACACGGUGGAUGCCCUGGCAGUCAGAGGCGAUGAAGGACGUGCUAAUCUGCGAUAAGCGUCGGUAAGGUGAUAUGAACCGUUAUAACCGGCGAUUUCCGAAUGGGGAAACCCAGUGUGUUUCGACACACUAUCAUUAACUGAAUCCAUAGGUUAAUGAGGCGAACCGGGGGAACUGAAACAUCUAAGUACCCCGAGGAAAAGAAAUCAACCGAGAUUCCCCCAGUAGCGGCGAGCGAACGGGGAGCAGCCCAGAGCCUGAAUCAGUGUGUGUGUUAGUGGAAGCGUCUGGAAAGGCGCGCGAUACAGGGUGACAGCCCCGUACACAAAAAUGCACAUGCUGUGAGCUCGAUGAGUAGGGCGGGACACGUGGUAUCCUGUCUGAAUAUGGGGGGACCAUCCUCCAAGGCUAAAUACUCCUGACUGACCGAUAGUGAACCAGUACCGUGAGGGAAAGGCGAAAAGAACCCCGGCGAGGGGAGUGAAAAAGAACCUGAAACCGUGUACGUACAAGCAGUGGGAGCACGCUUAGGCGUGUGACUGCGUACCUUUUGUAUAAUGGGUCAGCGACUUAUAUUCUGUAGCAAGGUUAACCGAAUAGGGGAGCCGAAGGGAAACCGAGUCUUAACUGGGCGUUAAGUUGCAGGGUAUAGACCCGAAACCCGGUGAUCUAGCCAUGGGCAGGUUGAAGGUUGGGUAACACUAACUGGAGGACCGAACCGACUAAUGUUGAAAAAUUAGCGGAUGACUUGUGGCUGGGGGUGAAAGGCCAAUCAAACCGGGAGAUAGCUGGUUCUCCCCGAAAGCUAUUUAGGUAGCGCCUCGUGAAUUCAUCUCCGGGGGUAGAGCACUGUUUCGGCAAGGGGGUCAUCCCGACUUACCAACCCGAUGCAAACUGCGAAUACCGGAGAAUGUUAUCACGGGAGACACACGGCGGGUGCUAACGUCCGUCGUGAAGAGGGAAACAACCCAGACCGCCAGCUAAGGUCCCAAAGUCAUGGUUAAGUGGGAAACGAUGUGGGAAGGCCCAGACAGCCAGGAUGUUGGCUUAGAAGCAGCCAUCAUUUAAAGAAAGCGUAAUAGCUCACUGGUCGAGUCGGCCUGCGCGGAAGAUGUAACGGGGCUAAACCAUGCACCGAAGCUGCGGCAGCGACGCUGAUGCGUUGUUGGGUAGGGGAGCGUUCUGUAAGCCUGCGAAGGUGUGCUGUGAGGCAUGCUGGAGGUAUCAGAAGUGCGAAUGCUGACAUAAGUAACGAUAAAGCGGGUGAAAAGCCCGCUCGCCGGAAGACCAAGGGUUCCUGUCCAACGUUAAUCGGGGCAGGGUGAGUCGACCCCUAAGGCGAGGCCGAAAGGCGUAGUCGAUGGGAAACAGGUUAAUAUUCCUGUACUUGGUGUUACUGCGAAGGGGGGACGGAGAAGGCUAUGUUGGCCGGGCGACGGUUGUCCCGGUUUAAGCGUGUAGGCUGGUUUUCCAGGCAAAUCCGGAAAAUCAAGGCUGAGGCGUGAUGACGAGGCACUACGGUGCUGAAGCAACAAAUGCCCUGCUUCCAGGAAAAGCCUCUAAGCAUCAGGUAACAUCAAAUCGUACCCCAAACCGACACAGGUGGUCAGGUAGAGAAUACCAAGGCGCUUGAGAGAACUCGGGUGAAGGAACUAGGCAAAAUGGUGCCGUAACUUCGGGAGAAGGCACGCUGAUAUGUAGGUGAGGUCCCUCGCGGAUGGAGCUGAAAUCAGUCGAAGAUACCAGCUGGCUGCAACUGUUUAUUAAAAACACAGCACUGUGCAAACACGAAAGUGGACGUAUACGGUGUGACGCCUGCCCGGUGCCGGAAGGUUAAUUGAUGGGGUUAGCGCAAGCGAAGCUCUUGAUCGAAGCCCCGGUAAACGGCGGCCGUAACUAUAACGGUCCUAAGGUAGCGAAAUUCCUUGUCGGGUAAGUUCCGACCUGCACGAAUGGCGUAAUGAUGGCCAGGCUGUCUCCACCCGAGACUCAGUGAAAUUGAACUCGCUGUGAAGAUGCAGUGUACCCGCGGCAAGACGGAAAGACCCCGUGAACCUUUACUAUAGCUUGACACUGAACAUUGAGCCUUGAUGUGUAGGAUAGGUGGGAGGCUUAGAAGUGUGGACGCCAGUCUGCAUGGAGCCGACCUUGAAAUACCACCCUUUAAUGUUUGAUGUUCUAACGUGGACCCGUGAUCCGGGUUGCGGACAGUGUCUGGUGGGUAGUUUGACUGGGGCGGUCUCCUCCUAAAGAGUAACGGAGGAGCACGAAGGUUGGCUAAUCCUGGUCGGACAUCAGGAGGUUAGUGCAAUGGCAUAAGCCAGCUUGACUGCGAGCGUGACGGCGCGAGCAGGUGCGAAAGCAGGUCAUAGUGAUCCGGUGGUUCUGAAUGGAAGGGCCAUCGCUCAACGGAUAAAAGGUACUCCGGGGAUAACAGGCUGAUACCGCCCAAGAGUUCAUAUCGACGGCGGUGUUUGGCACCUCGAUGUCGGCUCAUCACAUCCUGGGGCUGAAGUAGGUCCCAAGGGUAUGGCUGUUCGCCAUUUAAAGUGGUACGCGAGCUGGGUUUAGAACGUCGUGAGACAGUUCGGUCCCUAUCUGCCGUGGGCGCUGGAGAACUGAGGGGGGCUGCUCCUAGUACGAGAGGACCGGAGUGGACGCAUCACUGGUGUUCGGGUUGUCAUGCCAAUGGCACUGCCCGGUAGCUAAAUGCGGAAGAGAUAAGUGCUGAAAGCAUCUAAGCACGAAACUUGCCCCGAGAUGAGUUCU